UAUCUGCCCUAUUUAAAGAUUCGAACCUGCAGCAGGUUCGAGUCGAACGCAGUGAGACAACGGAGCCGCUUGCGGCGACGGCCCGAAGGGCGAGCAAAGCGGUCACCCUGCACGACCCACCA
This 122-nucleotide small RNA is filed under the name Kosakonia pseudosacchari. Its description in RNAcentral is "RtT sRNA". It matches the Rfam family "RtT RNA". From Rfam's summary of the family: This family represents a bacterial cis-regulatory element known as RtT RNA. The exact function of RtT is unknown although it is thought that it may be involved in changing the cellular response in relation to amino acid starvation. The record is from RNAcentral. Lineage: Bacteria; Pseudomonadati; Pseudomonadota; Gammaproteobacteria; Enterobacterales; Enterobacteriaceae.